Long non-coding RNA from Bos taurus (domestic cattle), 4598 nucleotides. The record is from Ensembl. NCBI's taxonomy places the organism in Eukaryota, Metazoa, Chordata, Mammalia, Artiodactyla, Bovidae.
UAGUCACACCAUCCACUGCGGCCUUCAAAUGUUACAAAUGCUAGGCCGAAAGUCAUCUUAGCACCAAUAGGAGGGGAUCAGAAACUGGAAAGGAAAGCUAGUGGCGAGCAGUCCCUCAAAGCCAGAGCGCACCGGAAGAUGGGCUGGUCAGGAGAAACACGUCACAUGUCGAAAACCUGUCAGCAAGGCACUGUUCUAGGCUCUGAGUAUACAAAAUAAAGAAUGCAUCAUACAGAGCCCUCAGACAAGCACAGUCGCAGGGCGGUGGUAUAAGUGCUGCAGGAAAACCGUGUUACAGGUGAUCUCGGACAGCCUGGGACUGCGGCAGCGUGGAGCAGUGCUCGGGCUCCCAGCCAGAGAUUGGGCUGGGUGGUGGUGGUGGAAGCGCCAGAUCCUAGCCACUAGACUUGUGAUCAUUGACAAGAGCCCUGGGCCUUUGGCUUUGCCAAAAAGAAUUCCCACAAAGACAGGAAGUGGUGAAACAAGUAAAGUAUUUAUUAAGAGGAAAAGAGCACAGUGUGUGUGGCUAGGCCCACAGGCAAACUCAGAGCUCCUGAGUCGUGCCCUCGGGAAGUUUGAAUUACUUUUAUGGGGUAUUUCUUCUGCGUUUCCUUUGGCCAAUCCUUUUGAUUUGCCCGGUUCACAGUCUGUGUCUGGUAUAUCUCAGAAUCCCCCCAGGGCUUCCCUAGUGGCUCAGAUGGUAAAGAAUCCACCUGCAAUGCAGGAGGCCUGGGUUCAGUCCCUGGGUUGGAAGAUCCCCUGGAGAAGGAAACGGCAACCCACUCCAGUAUUCUUGCCCAAAGAGUCCCAUGAACAGGGGAGCCUGGUGGGCUACAGUCCAUGGAGUCAAACUCAACUGAAGCGACUUAGCACGCACUCAGAGGAUUCUCCCAUGUGUGCACACGCAUCUCUUAGCCAAGAAGGAUUUUACCAAAAAGGCAUCUGGGUAGAACAUCCCUUGAUAUAAGUCUCCUUUGGCCUCCAAAGAGCCUUUCUGCCCAUGUGUGGUCAGGGCGGUCUGCUGACUUCGAGAACGAGAAACAUGUGGUCUAGGCAGGGCCCAGCCUCCUCCCUUAAUCAUCCUGCUGUUCUUGUCUUAGAGUUUCAGUCCAUAGGGGAUGCAUCUCCUAUUGCUUUACCCUCUAGGGUGGGGCUCAUCUAUCCCCUGCCUCACAGGUACAGGGUGAUCAAAUGUCAGUGGUCCCAGUCUUAGACCAGCUCACCUUUAGAGCCCGUCUCAGCCUCACCCUCGGCUCUAUUUUGCUAGGAGCUGACUCUUGCAGGCCGAGAUUUACAGAAUCCUGGGCCAGGUGGCUAAUAGCUAGAUACGGCCCAUGAGCAGUGUUGGAGAGAGAGUGGAAGGUGGGAGGAAAGUUAAGGCCAGAGAAUUUCUUCACCUCCCUCUUGCCUCUGACAGCAUCUCCAGCUGUGACUGCAUCUGACUAAGGCUUCUGCCAGGUGAUCCCAGCCCUUGGCUGAGGUAAAACUACGACUUCCCGUUAACUCUCCAGCUUAAUGAUGUUAAUGACUUUCUGCUAAAAUUAGUUGCUUGUAGCUUCUUCUUCCUCUGUUUGCGUCUCAGAUCCUCCAUCACCUGUAGGGCAAUGCCCUGCAUUAAAUCCCUUCUGUGGACGGGUAAUUUACAAAAUGACCUGAGCAGUACUCCUCAAAAGGAUGCAGUGCUGUGCUUAGUUGCUCCAUCAUGUCCGACUCUUUGAACCCCAGGGACUGUAGCCCACCAGGUUCCUCUGUCUCUGGGGAUUCUCCUGGCAAGAAUCCUGGAGUGGGUUGCCAUUCCCUUCUCCAGGGAAUAUUCCCAACCCAGGGAUAGAACCCAGGUUUCCCGCACUGCAGAUGGAUUCUUUACUUAGCCACCAGGGAAGCCCCAGUAGAGUCAUUAAAAACCAGGAAAUGCUGAGAACUGCUACAGCAAAGAGGAGCUUUAAGGAGAUAUGACAACUCCAUGUACUGUGGUAUACUGGAUGGGAUCAAGGGGCAGAAAAAGAUGAACAGACUUGCUCCAAAUGGCACCGAUUAUUUAUGGGCAGAAUAGCAGCCCAAAUAAAAGUCUGCAGGGCACAAAAACAGGGUCAACAGUGCGCAGACUCGGCAGAAACCACGAGACUGCGUCUGCAAGGACAGAUAGAGGUUAAGGCAUGAGCAAAUGUGAGCAGAAGCAGGACUUCACGGAGGGGGCAUCGCAGGUGACAGCACUAAAUCACUACUGUGAAUCCACGCUCAUCGAAAGGCAUGAAGGAACCUCGCUUUGCUGUGUUCAUCGCUGAUGCUGGUCACACUUAUUCCUUAACCGACCCAAUCAGGCCAUUUGCAGAUGGCCCCCCAGUAGUGGAAGAGGGCUGGUGUUCCCUUCUCUCCAGAGCCAGUUACAGAACCGGCUGCAACCUGUGUCCUCAGACCCAUCUUCCCCGGCUCUGGCUCCGUCCUUUAGGAGUGAUUUAUCCUGGGGUCUGACUCCCGAGCAGAGCCGCAGUGUCGGCCUUGAAGGAAAGCCAGACGCAGCCCGGCCUGGCUCUGGGCCAGCCAGCUGGCGGCGGAGCUGCGGGCUCUUGGGGUCCCCCGGCCCCCCUUUCAGCUGUCUCGCCCAGGUGAUCAUCCACGCUGCCGCUCCCUGGCUCUUUCUAGCCCCUCAUUUCAGAUCACUUUACACACGUUAAUUAAGCCUUGAAACACUCAGGAAAGAAAAUCGAAGCGCUAACUGGGAUGUCAGCCACGCCCCUCCCCAGUCAGGAGGAAGAAGGAGCUGGUAAAGCACGGGGUUGGGAUGAACCGGUUCCACAAGAGGCAGGAAACCCCGUUCACUUCAAAUUCACCAGUCAGCGUCACAGAACAACCUCCCACCUCAUGGUCCCCCAUCACGGUUGAUCCUGGUGACCAUCGGAAGGCGGGUUCCCCUGGGCAAGACUGCUGACUGAGAGGCAGCAUCCAUCCUAAAGGAAAUCAACCCUGAAUGUUCACUGGAAGGACUGAUGCUGAAGCUGGAGCUCCAAUGCUUUGGACACCUGAUGCGAAGAGCUGACUCACUGGAAAAGACCCUGAUGCUGGGAAAGACUGAAGGCGGGAAGAGAAGGGGAUGACAGAGGGUGAGAUGCUUCAGUGGUAUCACUGACUCAGUGGACAUGAGUUUGAACAAGCUCCGGGAGUUGGUGAAGGAUGGGGAAGCCUGGCGUGCUGCAGUCCAUGGGGCUGCAGAGAGUCGGACACGACGGAACAACCACCAUCUGGGUCAUGCUGUUAGGAAGCCUUCAGUCUGCACCGCAGUGGUGAGGCUUAUGGUCACGGCUUUGGGAUCAGAGAGGCCUUGGCCAUCCCCGGCCCUGCCACUUUCAGCUGCUGUCCCGUGCACUUUACUCGGAAUCCUGGAUCCCGCUGUUUCUGCUGUUAAAGGGACAUGAGAGCAUCCACCCCUGCCACCACCAUCCCCACCCCCCACCCUGCCAACGUGGUUUCUGCGGAGGAUGAAAUUAGAUCAGGCAUGCAAAAUAUUGAGGACCAAAAUGUAAAACAUAUUUAUGUUUGGCACAUAAAAUGGUAUAUUUUAUAGUUUUCUGAACCAUCUCCCUAGCUAAUCCCAGUCCAUCUGAAUUAAUGCAGUUCUCUCGCUGCGUUGGAAGCUUUUUCUCAAAUUAACACUGAAGUCUCUCAUUGACAAGAAAUGGUUGGGGGAUCCCCGUGAAGCCUGUAGUUCAGUUGACAGCGUAUACCAUUUCCGUGUCUUAGUUUUGAUAAAUAUGUCACGGACAUUUUCACAGUGUGGACAUUUCAGGAAGUUGGGUGAGUGGUCCUGGAACCCUUCUUUCUUUGCAACCAAUGCUCAGCUGACAACAGCAAUAAUCCUAUUAAAAUGCGUCAAAAUCAGUAACGCUCACCCAGUAGGGGAGAACAUCAUCUCUGCUUUUAGUACACAUUAAUAAAAAUACCUCCUUAGGGUUCAAAAUUGCCCAUUUUUGUUGUUGUUACCAAAAUAAGAGGCAAUUGAAUGUUAUCUCUAGCUGUUUUCACCACCAAGAAAAAUUCCUUGAGUUUCCAGGGUCGGCAGGGCACCAUCUUGAACGUUAAAAUAACAAACAUUACCAUCAGGAAAAAUAAAGACAGAAAAACACCUGCGGGGGAGUCAUUUUAAGGUGGGUGUUCGGAUGUGAGACAUUUGAUAACUUUACCAUGUAAGCCCCCAGCGCGUCCCUUCCUUCAGGGGAAAGGGAUGACUCUCCGGGCAGUCAGCUCCAGCCUUCCCUUCUGGUGGGCAGCGACGACGAAGGACAGUCCUGUCGAAUAACACCACGAUGACCCCGCUGGCCACCCAGAGGCCAGCUUCUGAGACGUUCACCUUAAAAUGCUGAGGAGACCUUUCCUCUCUCUCACCUGAAGGCGACCUGAGGUCUUUAUUUUUAUUCCUUACUUUUAUUACCGCAUUUCUUGUACCAUGCAAAUUGUGAUGUACUCGUGGGGGUCAGAAGGAGAUUUCCAAAGGGCAGAUGGUGAGUUCUGCUAAUGGCGCUGACGUGGAGAUGGUGAAUAUCCUGUAGCCAUGUUACAACAGGUUCAGGGAAAGAGCCGCUGCUCUCAGGAGUGAGGAUAUA